AUGUCAGGCCUGAAUGUUGGUAUGGGAUCUGCUCGUGGUGCUCAACUGGAUGCAGGAUUUGCGAAGCUUCAAGGCAAAGACUUCCAGUACAUCAUGCAAUCUUAUGAAAUCAUCGUGAGAUGCAAUUCCAAGAAAGGAAAGGUAGACUUUGAUCUUAGCGCCGUUGGCGGAGAUAGGGAUGUUUCCCGCCUCCAUGCACGCAUCUUCUAUGAUUUUCAACACCGCUCGUUUUCCCUUGAGGUUCUGGGCCAACAUGGAUGCUAUGUUCAGAGGGUCCUUCACCGCCCAAGUGAUGAUCCCGUUAAACUGAAGUCCCAGGAUCUCAUUCAGAUGGGACAAACACGAUUCUACUUUCUCCUACCAGCUCGCCCCAUCUUUGCAUCCUUUGCUGCUGAGGGAACUCCACACUCCUCUAAUUUUCAUGGCCAAUCCGUUCAUAUUGGUUCUGCCACAGCUUCUCCUCGGCAAACUCAUAUUCCAUCAUAA
RNAcentral lists this ribosomal RNA (486 nucleotides) under Triticum aestivum (bread wheat). Its description in RNAcentral is "partial small subunit ribosomal RNA". Lineage: Eukaryota; Viridiplantae; Streptophyta; Magnoliopsida; Poales; Poaceae. The record is from RNAcentral.